AAUCAACGCUGGCGGCGUGCCUCAGACAUGCAAGUCGAACGCGAAAGUCCCCUUCGGGGGACAAGUAGAGUGGCGCACGGGUGAGUAACACGUAGGUAAUCUACCUUCGGAUGGGGAAUAACAACCGGAAACGGUUGCUAAUACCGCAUAAUGCAGCGGCACCUAAUGGUGACAGUUGUUAAAGCGGGGGAUCGAAAGACCUCGCGUCUGAAGAGGAGCCUGCGGCGGAUUAGCAGUUGGUAAGGUAAUGGCUUACCAAGGCGACGAUCCGUAGCCGGCCUGAGAGGGCGGUCGGCCACACUGACACUGACAUACGGGUCAGACUCCUACGGGAGGCAGCAGUCGGGAAUUUUGGGCAAUGGGCGAAAGCCUGACCCAGCAACGCCGCGUGAAGGAUGAAAUCCCUCGGGAUGUAAAC
This 418-nucleotide ribosomal RNA is filed under the name uncultured bacterium. RNAcentral describes it as "bacterial SSU rRNA". It matches the Rfam family "Bacterial small subunit ribosomal RNA", at positions 32 to 430 of the family's 1533-position model. The record is from RNAcentral.